RNAcentral lists this ribosomal RNA (253 nucleotides) under uncultured prokaryote. RNAcentral describes it as "partial 16S ribosomal RNA". It matches the Rfam family "Bacterial small subunit ribosomal RNA", at positions 524 to 776 of the family's 1533-position model. The record is from RNAcentral.
UACGUAGGUGGCAAGCGUUGUCCGGAUUUACUGGGCGUAAGGAGCGCGCAGGCGGUCGUUCAAGUCGCGUGUGAAAGCCCCCGGCUCAACUGGGGAGGGUCACGCGAUACUGAUCGACUCGAAGGCAGGAGAGGGAAGUGGAAUUCCCGGUGUAGUGGUGAAAUGCGUAGAUAUCGGGAGGAACACCAGUGGCGAAGGCGAGUCCCUGGACAACACCUGACACUGAGGCACGAAAGCUAGGGGAGCAAACAGG